Molecule: ribosomal RNA, 497 nt
Filed under: uncultured bacterium
Lineage: Bacteria
Description: partial 16S ribosomal RNA
Rfam family: Bacterial small subunit ribosomal RNA
Source: RNAcentral
GAUGAACGCUGGCGGCGUGCCUAAUACAUGCAAGUCGAGCGAACGGACGAGAAGCUUGCUUCUCUGAUGUUAGCGGCGGACGGGUGAGUAACACGUGGAUAACCUACCUAUAAGACUGGGAUAACUUCGGGAAACCGGAGCUAAUACCGGAUAAUAUUUUGAACCGCAUGGUUCAAAAGUGAAAGACGGUCUUGCUGUCACUUAUAGAUGGAUCCGCGCUGCAUUAGCUAGUUGGUAAGGUAACGGCCUACCAACGCAACGAUGCAUAGCCGACCUGAGAGGGUGAUCGGCCACACUGGAACUGAGACACGGUCCAGACUCCUACGGGAGGCAGCAGUAGGGAAUCUUCCGCAAUGGGCGAAAGCCUGACGGAGCAACGCCGCGUGAGUGAUGAAGGUCUUCGGAUCGUAAAACUCUGUUAUUAGGGAAGAACAUAUGUGUAAGUAACUGUGCACAUCUUGACGGUACCUAAUCAGAAAGCCACGGCUAACUACGUG